CACCCAUGUCUUUUGCGCACUUGUUGUUUCCUGGGCGGGUUCGCCCGCCACCAGGACCAAACCAUAAACCUUUUUCUUAUGCAGUUUCCAUCAGCGUCAGUAAAAACAAUGUAAUAAUUACAACUUUCAACAACGGAUCUCUUGGUUCUGGCAUCGAUGAAGAACGCAGCGAAAUGCGAUACGUAGUGUGAAUUGCAGAAUUCAGUGAAUCAUCGAAUCUUUGAACGCACAUUGCGCCCUUUGGUAUUCCAAAGGGCAUGCCUGUUCGAGCGUCAUUUGUACCUUCAAGCUUUGCUUGGUGUUGGGCGUUUUUGUCUCCCUCUUUCUGGGAGACUCGCCUUAAAACGAUUGGCAGCCGGCCUACUGGUUUCGGAGCGCAGCACAUUUUUUGCGCUUUGUAUCAGGAGAAAAGGACGGUACUCCAUCAAGACUUUUACAAUUUUAACUUUUGACCUCGGAUCAGGUAGGGAUACCCGCUGAACUUAAGCAUAUCAAAGCGGGAAGAAAA
This 508-nucleotide ribosomal RNA is filed under the name Bipolaris coffeana. RNAcentral describes it as "eukaryotic LSU rRNA". The stretch from base 122 to 275 matches the Rfam family "5.8S ribosomal RNA". Lineage: Eukaryota; Fungi; Ascomycota; Dothideomycetes; Pleosporales; Pleosporaceae. The record is from RNAcentral.